Molecule: long non-coding RNA, 950 nt
Filed under: Volvox carteri
Lineage: Eukaryota; Viridiplantae; Chlorophyta; Chlorophyceae; Chlamydomonadales; Volvocaceae
Description: long non-coding RNA (VCAR_LNC003099)
Source: RNAcentral
CAAUCGUUAAUUUAACAUGCAGUAAGCGUCACAUCACAGAGUAAUAUCUGCCUGUGUAACCCUGAUAACAGGGUCUCCACCCGUAAUUGUACAUGUAAUUGGUUACAUGUGCCCGUAAUUCACCUCCAGCACCGCGUAAAAUCCACCCGUAAUCACUGGGUCUCCACCCGUAAUUGUACGUGUAAUUGGUUACAUGUGCCCGUAAUUCACCUCCAGCACCGCGUAAAAUCCACCCGUAAUCACUGGGUCUUCACCCGUAAUUUCGCGUGUAAUUGGUUACAUGCGCCUGUAAUUCACCUCCAACACCGCGUAAAAUCCACCCGUAAUCACUGGGUCUUCACCCGUAAUUUCGCGUGUAAUUGGUUACAUGCGCCCGUAAUUCACCUCCAACACCGCGUAAAAUCCACCCGUAAUCACUGGGUCUUCACCCGUAAUUUCGCGUGUAAUUGGUUACAUGCGCCCGUAAUUCACCUCCAGCACCGCGUAAAAUCCACCCGUAAUCACUGGGUCUUCACCCGUAAUUUUGCGUGUAAUUGGUUACAUGCGCCCGUAAUUCACCUCCAGCACCGCGUAAAAUCCACCCGUAAUCACUGGGUCUUCACCCGUAAUUUUGCGUGUAAUUGGUUACAUGCGCCCGUAAUUAACCUCCAGCACCGCGUAAAAUCCACCCGUAAUCACUGGGUCUUCACCCGUAAAUGUUCACCUGUAUCCUUGUGCUCAAAUUACGGGACCCGUAACGUGUUACGGACCCGUAAUUUCUGUCAAAUUACGGGUGGAUUGACCCAAAAUUACGGGUAAAAUGACCCCCCUUUUCCCAGAGUGCGAGUGAACUGGUCCAUCCUGCACCACAAGCGCCAUUGUGGGUCUAACUCCUAUGCUUACGUAUCAUGCCUGUGCACUGAAGGCCUGCAUGUAACUCUGGCAAGCAUGCUACACCCUGACAUGAGCAU